Camelina sativa (false flax) is the source of this 1143-nucleotide non-coding RNA. The record is from RefSeq and is a predicted model, not a curated record. Lineage: Eukaryota; Viridiplantae; Streptophyta; Magnoliopsida; Brassicales; Brassicaceae.
GAUUGUUAGACGAAGUCACGAAGCUGUAGAUGAUACUCAAACUUGGGUGGCACUUUGGUGGGUCAAUUUCGGCAAAAGAGUUCUAUCUUCCUAUAAGUUGAACUAAAGCAAAGCAUAGGAACCUUUUUUAGUGUGACGACAAAAAAAAAAAAAGGCACCGUUAAGUGACGUCACAAUCGGAGCGUGGAAGCACACGCACUUUGAGUCUUUGACUAUGCGCAUGAACUUUUGCACCAGCCAGAGGUGGGGUUUUGAAGGGGCUCGGCUGACAGCGGAGGCGAAGGCUAUGUUUGGCUCCCACAAUCCAUCAAUCGCCGACUCUAUAACGUUACUUUGGGAAACCAACUAGUAUUUGUGACUUUUCUAUAAAAAAAAAGUUGACCUUGAAAGUGUAUAUUGAAAUGAUUCCAUUACUUACAAUAUAAUUGGUUCCAUCGAUGACUAUUGUAGUUUUUAGAAAAUAAUAAUUCAACCUACUAUUUUAGAUGGUAUUGUAAAACAUAGGUGUUCAAUCGCCUUUUGCUACCGUCAACUUGAACCGCUUUUACAAACCGCCAAGAAAAAAAAAAAACCAACCGUUUUGCUGAUCCACCAAAUACGUUUAGCCAACCACAAUGGUUGUUGUUGAUGUUGUCUUGUUGACUAAUGACUACCACCAAUCAAAGCAAAACAAGCAAACAAAAAAAAAAUCUCUUUAUUGAUAAUGCAAUGGCAAUCUCGCAGCCGCGAUUUCAAAACGCUAACACACACACGUCGACAAAAGAACCUGGGAACCAAAACAGAGACGUUUUAGUGAAGUAAAGUGUCGGAGAGAAGAAAGCAAAGAACAACCAAACGUUACUGUCUCAGGUUUGCUGUGUCUUUGUCUUCUUCCAUAAAUCUCUUUCUCCUCUCCUCUCUUUCUCGAUCGAUUGAGAGAGAGAGGGAGAGAGAGAGAGAGAGAGAUUAAGCAAAUCUGGUGUUUUUUUUAGAAAAAUGGGAUCUUCUUCUGGACAAAGUGGAUACGAUCUGUCGUUUAAGAUCUUGUUGAUUGGUGAUUCUGGUGUUGGUAAAAGCAGUUUGCUUGUCAGCUUCAUUUCCAACUCCGUUGAAGAUCUUGCUCCUACUAUUGGUAACUUGUGUUUCUCUCUUUGAAUUCUCGAG